GGGACUUCAAGAACCUUUUCCAGGAUGAGAGCAGGGGAUGAGAGUUCAUGCUUUCAUGGAGGCACUGUCAUGGAUGCCAACGUCCAGACGGAUUCGUGCACUACAGGAUGAGUGUUGCUUUCCAGUCCACACUUCAAACCCGAGAGUAUUUAGAAGCAUGGGAAAUACAGACCUAAAAUGAAGAUUCUGCACUCGUGCAAAUCUAUUCUCAAAAAGAGCACGUGUCUUUGAGCCUGUCUGUGUUGCCGGUUGACUGUGACAGUUCCCUGAAUCUUUCUGUGGAACGCAAGGCUCAUCGAAGGACAACAAAUAUCUUGAUGCUCUCAUAUACAAUAUUAUUAUUAAAACGCAAAAGCAGCUGUAUCAGUUUGCAAUAAUAUCAGCUUUGUACUUUGUAAAUAAAGUUGUGAAGAAUGACCGAUGCGUGGUGAUAACUACAAAC
Molecule: long non-coding RNA, 442 nt
Filed under: Pan troglodytes (chimpanzee)
Lineage: Eukaryota; Metazoa; Chordata; Mammalia; Primates; Hominidae
Description: lncRNA (ENSPTRG00000053218.1)
Source: RNAcentral